GGAGACCCGGUGUUGGGUGGGGUCCCGGCAGGGACAAGCCGCUGCCGCCAUCAGUCACCGAGGUGGGGUGGGGAUGAGAGGUUCGCCGCGGCUUCAAGACCUGGGUCCGGCCAGUGGGCAGCCACAUCGGAGGCCUCAGGAUUAUCAAUCACAGUCAUAUCUAUAAUGAAACUGGAAGAAAAACUACACAGAAAAGAAUUCAAAGUGAUUUGGCACUGCCUUCUGCUUGGCCCAUCUGCUGUUAUUUUUUUUCUCCUACUGGCAGAACGUUAGACAAUAUUUCAACUUAGCAUCUCAUAGGCAGUUAAACAACGGACAAGUAUUCUCCACUUGAGUCAGUUUCAGACCCAGAACCUUUUGACUAAAGACAUAGUCAAAUCCCUUGGAGGAAGGACCAUGUAACACCAUGGAAGAGUGGGCUGGAGAAGAGGAAAUGAUACCAUGUUCUUUUAAGAAAAAAGAGGAAAAAGCCCACAAGAUGAACACUAUGGUGUAUAACCCUGUCAUGUCUUUUUAGCAAUGAACUUUGGAGCCCUGGAAACAAGUAGCCCUAAGUUACAACACUCAAUUUUAAAGGUCCAGCCUCUCUUGGUAUGUCAUGAAGUCUGAUAACCUGUGGAAUCCUGUUGCCUCUUAACAGGAUGCUAAGAGUGGCACAUUCCAGUCAGAGUUGAACAACAGUUUGAACUGCAAAGGUCCACCUGAUUUUUUUCUGCCUCUGCUACCUCUGAAACAGCAAGAUCAGCCCUUGCUCUUCCUUCUGCUCCUACUCAACAUGAAGGCACAAAGACGAAGACUUUAUAAUGAUCCAUUUUUACUUAAUAAGCAGUGAGGCACUGAAGGCAGGCUCCCACUAGUCUUUAAUGGAAAUAUUACAAAGUAGAAGGUA
Molecule: long non-coding RNA, 889 nt
Filed under: Homo sapiens (human)
Lineage: Eukaryota; Metazoa; Chordata; Mammalia; Primates; Hominidae
Description: HSALNT0354136
Source: RNAcentral